AUGAUACUCCAUAGAGUAGAGACACGGAAAAGGCGUUAGUCGAAAGUUCUGGCGCCUUAGGAGGGAUAUGCGGUCGAAUAGGAUGAUGUUGGGGUAACGGCCCAACAAGCAUGUAAAUCGAUACGGAUGGUGAGAGCAAGAGCCCGGAGAUGGAAUCUGAGACACGAGUCCAGGCCCUACGGGGCGCAGCAGGCGCGAAAACUUUACAAUGCAGGAAACUGUGAUAAGGGAACUCCGAGUGCCCGUAUACGCGGGCUGUCCAGGUGUUUAAAAAUCAUCUGAAGAAAGGGCCGGGCAAGACCGGUGCCAGCCGCCGCGGUAACACCGGCGGCUCGAGUGGUGGCCACUAUUAUUGGGCUUAAAGCGUCCGUAGCUGGACCGAUAAGUCUCUUGGGAAAUCCGCCGGCUCAACCGGCGGGCGUCUAAGGGAUACUGUUAGUCUAGGGACCGGGAGAGGUGAGAGGUACUCCGGGGGUAGGAGUGAAAUCCUGUAAUCCCCGGGGGACCACCGAUGGCGAAGGCAUCUCACCAGAACGGCUCCGACAGUGAGGGACGAAAGCUGGGGGAGCGAACCGGAUUAGAUACCCGGGUAGUCCCAGCCGUAAACUAUGCGCGUUAGGUGU
RNAcentral lists this ribosomal RNA (623 nucleotides) under uncultured archaeon. RNAcentral's name for it is "bacterial SSU rRNA". It matches the Rfam family "Archaeal small subunit ribosomal RNA", at positions 146 to 774 of the family's 1478-position model. The record is from RNAcentral.